CAAAGGAGCAAUCCGCUGAAAGAUGGGCUCGCGUCCGAUUAGGUAGUUGGUGAGGUGACGGCCCACCAAGCCGACGAUCGGUAGCCGGACUGAGAGGUUGGACGGCCACAUUGGGACUGAGACACGGCCCAGACUCCUACGGGAGGCAGCAGUAAGGGAUAUUGGUCAAUGGGGGAAACCCUGAACCAGCAACGCCGCGUGAGGGAAGACGGUUUUCGGAUUGUAAACCUCUGUCCUCUGUGAAGAUGAUGACGGUAGCAGAGGAGGAAGCUCCGGCUAACUACGUGCCAGCAGCCGCGGUAAUACGUAGGGAGCGAGCGUUGUCCGGAUUUACUGGGUGUAAAGGGUGCGUAGGCGGCUGUGCAAGUCAGUAGUGAAAUCCAUGGGCUUAACCCAUGAACUGCUAUUGAAACUGCACAGCUUGAGUGAAGUAGAGGUAGGCGGAAUUCCCGGUGUAGCGGUGAAAUGCGUAGAGAUCGGGAGGAACACCAGUGGCGAAGGCGGCCUACUGGGCUUUAACUGACGCUGAGGCACGAAAGCGUGGGUAGCAAACAGGAUUAGAUACCCUGGUAGUCCACGCUGUAAACGAUGAUUACUAGGUGUGGGGGGACUGAACCCUUCC
RNAcentral lists this ribosomal RNA (622 nucleotides) under uncultured bacterium. RNAcentral's name for it is "bacterial SSU rRNA". It matches the Rfam family "Bacterial small subunit ribosomal RNA", at positions 202 to 842 of the family's 1533-position model. The record is from RNAcentral.